GUGUCAAUAUCAUGAAUUUGAGUUAUGUAAUACCAUUACAAAAACGAAAGAGGAUUCUGAAGAAAAUGCAUUAUCUAGAGAUGUCAUUCAUGUAAAUGAUAGACCUUCUUCCAGUGAGCCAGCUGAGGCAAAAAAUGCUGCAAAUGAAAACAGGGGUGCAAGCACUGAGAAGGUACCUGCAGAUAGUUUCUCAAGUGCUGAAAAUGAUGCUAGUCACAAAUCUCUAAAUAUUCCUGAAAGUGAAGAUGAAGAAAUCGAAGAGAAACUAGAUGCUUUAUCAGAUUCCAAUCAUCCAGAGUUUGCAACCCAAAGCGUAGAUGGAGAUAUACUUGAAGAAACAAACACUGAUUCUGAUGAUAAAGAAUCCCACGCUAUCAAGAGUCAUGGCUCUGAAUCUUCUGCUGGAAAUUUAUCAUCAGAAACAAUAAGUAAUUUGAUGUAACAAUACUUGCUAGAUGUGUAAAAUUUAAUGUGUAUUCUAUUAAAAUAUUAUUGUAGCGUAUUGGUCU
Long non-coding RNA from Stegodyphus dumicola, 509 nucleotides. Lineage: Eukaryota; Metazoa; Arthropoda; Arachnida; Araneae; Eresidae. The record is from RefSeq and is a predicted model, not a curated record.